RNAcentral lists this ribosomal RNA (465 nucleotides) under uncultured bacterium. RNAcentral's name for it is "partial 16S ribosomal RNA". It matches the Rfam family "Bacterial small subunit ribosomal RNA", at positions 338 to 795 of the family's 1533-position model. The record is from RNAcentral.
CCUACGGGCGGCAGCAGUGAGGAAUAUUGCGCAAUGGACGAAAGCCUGACGCAGCGACGCCGCGUGAGGGAUGAAGGUCUUCGGAGCGUAAACCUCUGUCAGCAGGGAAGAACGGUCACUGUGCUAAUCAGCAGUGAAUUGACGGUACCUGCAAAGGAAGCACCGGCUAACUCCGUGCCAGCAGCCGCGGUAAUACGGAGGGUGCGAGCGUUAAUCGGAAUUACUGGGCGUAAAGCGCUCGUAGGCGGUAUGUCAAGUCAAGGGUGAAAUCCCCGCGCUCAACGUGGGAACUGCCUUUGAAACUGGCAAACUGGAGUGUGUGAGAGGAUAGUGGAAUUCCAGGUGUAGGAGUGAAAUGCGUAGAUAUCUGGAGGAACAUCAGUGGCGAAGGCGACUAUCUGGCACAUAACUGACGCUGAGGAGCGAAAGCGUGGGUAGCAAACAGGAUUAGAUACCCCUGUAGUC